Molecule: ribosomal RNA, 498 nt
Filed under: uncultured bacterium
Lineage: Bacteria
Description: bacterial SSU rRNA
Rfam family: Bacterial small subunit ribosomal RNA
Source: RNAcentral
GAUGAACGCUAGCGAUAGGCCUAACACAUGCAAGUCGAGCGGGAUUCUCCUUCGGGAGAUGAGAGCGGCGCACGGGUGAGUAACACGUAUGCAACCUGCCUACUACAAGGGGAUAGCCCGUUGAAAGACGGAUUAAUACCCUAUAAUACAGGGGUCCCGCAUGGGAAUAUUUGUUAAAGAUUUAUCGGUAGUAGAUGGGCAUGCGUUCCAUUAGCUAGUUGGAGAGGUAACGGCUCACCAAGGCAACGAUGGAUAGGGGAACUGAGAGGUUUAUCCCCCACAUUGGAACUGAGACACGGUCCAAACUCCUACGGGAGGCAGCAGUGAGGAAUAUUGGUCAAUGGAGGCAACUCUGAACCAGCCAAGUCGCGUGAAGGAUGACUGCCCUACGGGUUGUAAACUUCUUUUGUAAGGGAAUAAAGUUUAGUACGUGUACUAAUUUGCAUGUACCUUACGAAUAAGCAUCGGCUAACUCCGUGCCAGCAGCCGCCGUAACAC